RNAcentral lists this long non-coding RNA (598 nucleotides) under Homo sapiens (human). RNAcentral describes it as "HSALNT0066506". Lineage: Eukaryota; Metazoa; Chordata; Mammalia; Primates; Hominidae. The record is from RNAcentral.
AGGGAAGGAAGCUGAUAAGGACCACAAAGUGACAAGUGCCCUGAAAGCACACAGCUGUAGCACCUGAGAGGAAGGCUCCUAACCCAGCUUGAGAAGCCAGACAAGGAUGCUGGGGCCGAAGGGAAAAGGAAUGAAGUUAUCCAAGACAACAGUGAGUGAGUGGCCACGCUGAGAUUUACCAAGCCAGAACGCUUCCCAACAGCCUGAGGGUCGGCACAACUUCUUGUUUACUAUUAGAAUACUACCACUUACUGAAUAUUUACCUGUUCUAGACAUCUUUUUUUUUUUACAAUUGAUUUUUGUAUGUUGAUCUUGUAUAUUAUAAACUCGCUAAACUCAUGUUUUAUUACAGUUUAGUAUAAUUUUUAUUGUUAUUUUUAUUUUUGAGACAGGGUCUUGUUCUGUUGCCCAGGCUGGAGUGCAGCGGCACGAUCUCAGCUCACUGCAACCUCCACCUCCCGGGUUCAAGCAAUUCUGCCUCAACCUCUCAAGUAGUUGCGAUUACAGGCACGUGUCAUCAUGCCUGGCUGAUUUUUGUAUUUUUAGUAGGGACUGGGUUUCACCAUAUUGCCCAGGCUGGUCUCGAACUCCUGACCCC